Molecule: microRNA precursor, 88 nt
Filed under: Callithrix jacchus (white-tufted-ear marmoset)
Lineage: Eukaryota; Metazoa; Chordata; Mammalia; Primates; Cebidae
Description: microRNA cja-mir-9904 precursor
Source: miRBase by way of RNAcentral
UUGCAGGCAGCCGACUGAAAUUGUAGACUCGGACAAGACGCGACAAGCGGCCGCCCGAGGCUACAACUUCAGCGGGGUGGCCUGACAA